GAAUGUACAUAGUAAAUCUAUAUGUUCAUACGUAUCUAAACUAACAUUACUUCAAUUGGUACAGAAACUAUAAGGCAUUACCGAAUGUGUAUGCAAGGAUUCCAAGAAGACAUGACAUGGCAGUCAUCUUCUCAAUUGCCUCCAUUUUCUGUUAAAGCAAAAGAUCCUAGAGCUGAAUUUAGUUCAAUAGGACUGGCUUUUCUUCGUCGUUUUCAAAGUCCCACAAUUUUUCUUAAAAUUUCUUGUGAUGGAGACUUCUUGCUACCAAUUAUUGUAGGGGAAUUUGCCGUCGAAAGACUUAUAGAUUCCUCAACGGAGGAUGGGAGUGGGGUAAUUUCUUAUUUUAUUUUUAUUUUUUUAUGUGAAAUUAGUCGUUUCUUUAUUUUCAUGUUGAUGCUCAUGUAAGCAUAUGUAAAAUCCAACAGUUGUGCUCUCCAUUUAUUUGACAAAGCAAUGUUUCGUAAUCAUAAUACAGUCUGUCCCUUGUGAUGAGGAUUACAACAAUAAAAUUUAAUUGUCGGAUGAAAAAUGAUAAAAGUCCCGAUCGGUUUUUAUAACCGAGUGAUGUGGUAGUCGGUGAACUAAAACAAUUUUAAAGGAGAGACUGUCUUAUUGAUUAUUGUGUAA
Molecule: long non-coding RNA, 627 nt
Organism: Cornus florida
Lineage: Eukaryota; Viridiplantae; Streptophyta; Magnoliopsida; Cornales; Cornaceae
Exons: 2
Source: RefSeq, a predicted model, not a curated record